GGUGAUUGGUUUCGGCCGGCUCCUCCUGGACCUCCUCCAUCCAUAUCUUCUCUCCGUGGGCCUUCAUGAAAAAUCCAUCCUUUCUUUCUCCUACGUUUUAAACCCGCCGCCUGCUGCCAUCCUCGUUUGAAACCAAUUUCAUAAAACCCGCGAGAAAGACCUAGCGAGGUUCGUUUCUUUCCGCCAUCGUUUCAUCAGCAUCUCGCCGGCUAAACCUCCUCGUCCGAUGCCCCCAUCUAGGCUGUCGAUUAGUGAGAACUGAGUAAGGAGAAAUCCUACUGCAUAAUUUUGCUUCUUGACAUGGACCAGUGCAAUCCAGAACUGGAGUCAACAAAGUCCUUACAAAUCACUACAAAAAUAAACAAGGAAAUGGCUUCAAAAAAGAUGCCCUCUAGAACUGCCCAAAUUCGUCUCAUGAGUUCACAUGAGGAUGUUUAUGAACCGUGUGAUGAUUCUUUUGCAUUGGUUGAUGCUCUUCUAGCUGACCGCAAUAACCUGUUGAAGCACUGCCCUGAAUUGUGUAUGGAGAUAGGCUGUGGUAGUGGAUAUGUUAUUACUUCCCUAGCUCUUAUGCUUGGGCAGGAAGGUCUUGCUGUUAAUUAUAUUGCAACAGACAUCAACCCACAAGCAGUAAGAGUGACCCGGGAGACAAUGGAUGCACAUGGGGUUGAUGCUGAGUUGAUAAUCACAGAUAUAGCAUCAGGACUGGAGAAGCGUCUAGCAGGAUUGGUCGAUGUCAUUGUUGUGAACCCUCCAUAUGUGCCUACCCCUGAAGACGAAGUAGGUAUUGGGGGUAUUGCUGCUUCUUGGGCUGGUGGAGAGAAUGGCCGGAGUGUUAUUGAUAGGAUAUUGCCAGUUGCAGAUCAUCUUUUGUCAGAAAAGGGAUGGUUGUACAUGGUCACCCUCACAGCAAACAACCCCUCUGAGAUAUGCCUUUAUAUGAGGGAGAAGGGAUAUGCAUCAAGGAUUGUCAUUCAAAGGUCAACGGAGGAAGAAAGUCUCCAUAUCAUCAAGUUCUGGCGGGAUCUUGAUGCAGAAGAAGGUGAUAAUGAGAAGGUUUCAGCAGACAAAUCUGUUCCUGGUAGGCUCAUGGAUUAUGUGCUGACGCAACUUCCUUCCUUUUCAUUCUGGAGAAGCAGUGAUAGUGAUAAUAAAUGAUGACUCAGACGAGGCAUAAAGUUUACUUUUUCGCUGGAGUUAAUGCUGCAUCCUGCCCCAAUAAGUAGCAAACACGAGUUGGAUGAAAUCCUACCAAAAUGCAUUGGGACUAUAUGUAUAUUAAUAUACAGGAAAUGAAGUCCUUGUUAGUGUGUUUCAAAGAAGUGAUCUGACGAGCUUCUGGUUUUGUGCUUGCAAUUACAAAGAAUGAUAUGAUUCAGUUGGAGUCGAUUUGGAGCACAUGAUUAAAUUUAUCCAGGGAAAUCCCGAAUACUGCUGGUUGGAAAUGGCUUACUCAGGUUUCGACUUUAUUAUGGACAAAAUUUCAACGUGUACGUAAUUGAUCGCAUAAUUAGGCUUCUAAAACAAUGGAAAAAAGUGUCGCGCAUUUUACUGAGAA
RNA transcript from Neltuma alba, 1558 nucleotides. It is a transcript of the gene named methyltransferase N6AMT1, with no coding region annotated. The record is from RefSeq and is a predicted model, not a curated record. The transcript has 5 exons. NCBI's taxonomy places the organism in Eukaryota, Viridiplantae, Streptophyta, Magnoliopsida, Fabales, Fabaceae.